This 253-nucleotide ribosomal RNA is filed under the name uncultured bacterium. RNAcentral describes it as "partial 16S ribosomal RNA". It matches the Rfam family "Bacterial small subunit ribosomal RNA", at positions 524 to 776 of the family's 1533-position model. The record is from RNAcentral.
UACAGAGGGUGCGAGCGUUGUCCGGAAUCACUGGGCGUAAAGGGCGCGUAGGCGGCUCGGUAAGGUUGCGGUGAAAGCCCGGGGCUCAACCCCGGGUCGGCCGUGGCAACUGUCGAGCUGGAGCACUGUAGAGGCAGGUGGAAUUCCGGGUGUAGCGGUGGAAUGCGUAGAGAUCCGGAAGAACACCGGUGGCGAAGGCGGCCUGCUGGGCAGUAGCUGACGCUGAUGCGCGACAGCGUGGGGAGCAAACAGG